AAUCUGAGUUACGUGUUUUGAAUACCCUCAAAGAUGACAAAUCUUGGCCUUUCGUUGGUGGAUUUGGUGUUGGAAAUAGACAAAAACUAGUUGGCGUUGAGUCUAACAAAUGCCUUUUUAGGUCAAAACUUGUUCCACAGAAGCCCAGUCUAAUCUGGAGCCUGAGCAUAGAAAAGAAAACAGACUUGGUCCUUGUGGAGUAAAAGUCAUCUCUUGGAUUCCUCUUGGAGGGUCCUUAAGGAGCAGCUGCUCCUGGCGGCCAGUUACUGCAGGGAGAACAGCCCAACACAGCUCUGCGACAGGCCACACCAUUGUUCUUGCUUUGGUCAGUUCCUUCAGUUUGCAGAUAAUAGAGGGAAUCACAUUGCCUGGGUCUUCUCUUUUCUCUGCUAAACAUCCCCAGUUCAGUCCCUCCUUCCUGGCAUAGUGUGGUUUCCUGACCCUUCAUAUCCAGCUUGCUGUCCUCCUGAUGUAGGCUGGUCU
This is a non-coding RNA of Ceratotherium simum simum (southern white rhinoceros), 483 nucleotides long. Lineage: Eukaryota; Metazoa; Chordata; Mammalia; Perissodactyla; Rhinocerotidae. The record is from RefSeq and is a predicted model, not a curated record.